This 68-nucleotide ribozyme is filed under the name unclassified sequences. RNAcentral describes it as "pistol ribozyme". It matches the Rfam family "Pistol ribozyme". The record is from RNAcentral.
ACUCGAUACGGCGAGUAUAAAUAGGACUUUAAGCCGUAAGCGUUCCCGCCGCAGGGCGGGAGGUAGUC